AGUCGAAACGCUCUCCGGGCCAACCGGCUCGGAGAGCGUCUGACCGGGGAUCGCCUCCCGGCACUGAUGAGACAGGCGACA
RNAcentral lists this non-coding RNA (81 nucleotides) under Kitasatospora sp. GP82. The record is from RNAcentral. RNAcentral also lists the same sequence under 1 other name. Lineage: Bacteria; Bacillati; Actinomycetota; Actinomycetes; Kitasatosporales; Streptomycetaceae.